This 1180-nucleotide long non-coding RNA is filed under the name Lupinus angustifolius (narrow-leaved blue lupine). RNAcentral's name for it is "long non-coding RNA (LANG_LNC002411)". The record is from RNAcentral. Lineage: Eukaryota; Viridiplantae; Streptophyta; Magnoliopsida; Fabales; Fabaceae.
GAAAUACUAAGAGAAGAAAAAGUGAUUGUAUUUUUUAUUUUUGUUUUCUUUUUUAUAUUUCCACUUGGCUAUUUCGUUGUUCUUAUUUGCUAGUCAAUUCUUUAUGCAACUAACUAAUAUAUGCUUACAACUUUACCAUUAUCAUCACUGUUAUAAGUUUUUCUUGAUGCUCACGUAUCUACUUGGUUUCUUUUAUGAGAGUUAUUAUAUGCAUUAUUAGUGUAAUGAUUUAUAUGCAGAUAAUAUAUUAUUGAUCAUUUAUUUAUAUUACUUUUUUGAAGAGAUCAAAGAUAAUUAAAUAUAAAUGAUAAAUGAUACACUUGUAGUAUAUAAAACUUAUGUUAGUGCAUACAUUUUUUUCUCUUUCUUUUAUUCCAAUAUAUUUAUAUUAAUGGUUUUUGUUUUUUAUGAAUCGAUCACACUUUACUAACCAAUAACAAUCAAAUUAAACAACACACUAUUCUACAAUAAACAUUUCAUGCAUUACAUAAAGUGAAAACACUCAAAAUAUUAUAUAGAGUUUAAAUAUGAUUUUUGUCCUAUAUUUAUAUUUUAUUUUUAUUUUAGUUCCUAUGUUUUUUCCUGUAUUUUUUUGUCAAAUUUAAUUUUAAUCAUUGCUUUUUAAUUUGGAUGGAAUAUAAUGAUGUGAUGAGCCCUACAUUUAUAUGGCUCGUGCUGAUUUUAUUUCUUGUGUAUGGCUCUAAUACAAAGUAGUAAAUGUGAUGAAAAAAGAAAAGGAUUUCCUGCCCAUGAUUUUUUGUGUGAGGAAAAAAAUGUAUGCACAAAAGUUUUAUAUGUUCUUAGUUCAUUAUCCACCAUAUCAUUGAUUCUUCAAAAAAAUUAAUACAAAUGAAUGAUAGAUGAUAUAUAUAUAAAUUUUUAUACUGACAAUCCAUAUAUAUUACAUUCUAUUUGUCGAAGAUAAAAAAUUCAAAAUUUGACUAACUAAUGUUUAACCAAGGUUUAGUUUUUCUUUGUAAAACAGGUUAAGUGGAAUGGAAGGAACUUCACUAAAGAUGAUGGUGUGUCUUGUUGUUAUUGCCAUUAUUUUGAUGGGAAGUGCAGAAGGAUACUGUUGCCCAAGGAACCCAUUGUGCUGCAUUAAUAAACUCAACAACAUAGAAAGUGAUACUCUUUUGUAGCUCUUCUCCAAAUUUACUAUUUCAAUAAAAGGCAACCA